AACGCACAUUGCACUCUAUUUCGGUAGAGUAUGCCUGUUUGAGAAUCUAAAGUAUUUAUUUACGGUUUGUACUUUUAUUAGGACAGCCGUAAGAUAUGAACCUUCCUCUACUUUGGUAGUAGGUGGUUUGAAAUUAAUAGCCGGUUAACCUUUGCUAAUGCCUGAUGCCUUGCAAAGUCGACUGAAAAGUAUUUGAAUGGAACUUCGGUUCUUUAAUAGUGCUGAAUAAGCGAUCGUAGGGAGUAGUUAGUAUUGGAGAGCUAGUCCAUAAACAUAAAGAAUAGGUGUAACACCCUACUCUUGAACCAUGGUCUCAAAUCAGGUAGGAAUACCCGCUGAACUUAA
Molecule: unclassified non-coding RNA, 345 nt
Filed under: uncultured fungus
Lineage: Eukaryota; Fungi
Description: partial contains ITS1, 5.8S rRNA and ITS2
Source: RNAcentral